This 78-nucleotide transfer RNA is filed under the name Pyrobaculum arsenaticum DSM 13514. Its description in RNAcentral is "tRNA-Asp". The stretch from base 4 to 71 matches the Rfam family "tRNA". From Rfam's summary of the family: Transfer RNA (tRNA) molecules are approximately 80 nucleotides in length. The record is from RNAcentral. Lineage: Archaea; Thermoproteati; Thermoproteota; Thermoprotei; Thermoproteales; Thermoproteaceae.
CAACCGGUAGUAUAGCCCGGACUAGUAUGCGGGCCUGUCGAGCCCGUGACCCGGGUUCAAAUCCCGGCCGGGGCGCCA